RNAcentral lists this long non-coding RNA (306 nucleotides) under Panax ginseng (ginseng). Its description in RNAcentral is "long non-coding RNA (PGIN_LNC007475)". The record is from RNAcentral. Lineage: Eukaryota; Viridiplantae; Streptophyta; Magnoliopsida; Apiales; Araliaceae.
UGUCAACAGAAAAACAAGAUAUUUCAAAAUUAUAUAAAUAAUGAUUUUCCAUCCAUUCCAGUUCUCUCGAUCUCUUGUUGCCAACUGUAUUUCUAGGUUCAUUAACUACAACAGGAUUUGGCUCAAUGUGUGUCAAUAUCAUCAUGAGGAACAUCAUUAUAAUAGUCGUCAUCUAUUACAAAUAGAGGUUCUGUAUCCUCUUCAAUUUCAUAUUGUUCCUCUAAAUUUUCUAAGAAAGUAGCAUAUCUACUUUCAAUCAUUUCUUUUUCUUUGUUGUAAAAUUUAUAUAUUUUGAAAUGUUCCGAG